ACGAACGCUGGCGGCGUGCCUAAUACAUGCAAGUCGAACGAGCUCUCCUAAAUUGAUUUUAUGCUUGCAUAAAUGAUUUUUAGAUUCGGAGCGAGUGGCGAACUGGUGAGUAACACGUGGGUAACCUGCCCCGAAGCGGGGGAUAACAUUUGGAAACAAAUGCUAAUACCGCAUAAUUAGUUGGAACCGCAUGGUUCCAACUUGAAAGAUGGCUCUGCUAUCACUUUGGGAUGGACCCGCGCCGUAUUAGUUAGUUGGUGAGAUAAAAGCCCACCAAGACGAUGAUACGUAGCCGACCUGAGAGGGUAAUCGGCCACAUUGGGACUGAGACACGGCCCAGACUCCUACGGGAGGCAGCAGUAGGGAAUCUUCCACAAUGGACGAAAGUCUGAUGGAGCAACGCCGCGUGAGUGAUGAGGGUUUUCGGAUCGUAAAACUCUGUUGUUAAAGAAGAACAAGUGUUAGAGUAACUGUUAACACUUUGACGGUAUUUAACCAGAAAGCCACGGCUAACUACGUGCCAGCAGCCGCGGUAAUACGUAGGUGGCAAGCGUUGUCCGGAUUUAUUGGGCGUAAAGCGAGCGCAGGCGGUUUUGUAAGUCUGCUGUGAAAGCCCUCAGCUCAACUGAGGAAGUGCAGUGGAAACUACAAAACUUGAGUACAGAAGAGGAAAGUGGAACUCCAUGUGUAGCGGUGAAAUGCGUAGAUAUAUGGGAAGAACACCAGUGGCGAAAGGCGGCUUUCUGGUCUGUUACUGACGCUGAGGCUCGAAAGCAUGGGUAGCGAACAGGAUUAGAUACCCUGGUAGUCCAUGCCGUAAACGAUGAAUACUAGGUGUUGGAGGGUUUCCGCCCUUCAGUGCCGCAGCUAACGCAUUAAGUAUUCCGCCUGGGGAGUACGACCGCAAGGUUGAAACUCAAAGGAAUUGACGGGGGCCCGCACAAGUGGUGGAGCAUGUGGUUUAAUUCGAUGCUACGCGAAGAACCUUACCAGCUCUUGACAUCUUCUGCCAACCCAAGAGAUUGGGCGUUCCCUUCGGGGACAGAAUGACAGGUGGUGCAUGGUUGUCGUCAGCUCGUGUCGUGAGAUGUUGGGUUAAGUCCCGCAACGAGCGCAACCCUUAUUAUUAGUUGCCAGCAUUUAGUUGGGCACUCUAGUGAGACUGCCGGUGAUAAACCGGAGGAAGGUGGGGACGACGUCAAAUCAUCAUGCCCCUUAUGAGCUGGGCUACACACGUGCUACAAUGGAUGGUACAACGAGUCGCGAAACCGCGAGGUCAAGCUAAUCUCUUAAAGCCAUUCUCAGUUCGGAUUGCAGGCUGCAACUCGCCUGCAUGAAGUUGGAAUCACUAGUAAUCGUGGAUCAGCAUGCCACGGUGAAUACGUUCCCGGGCCUUGUACACACCGCCCGUCA
This 1413-nucleotide ribosomal RNA is filed under the name uncultured Bacilli bacterium. RNAcentral's name for it is "bacterial SSU rRNA". It matches the Rfam family "Bacterial small subunit ribosomal RNA", at positions 29 to 1399 of the family's 1533-position model. The record is from RNAcentral. Lineage: Bacteria; Bacillati; Bacillota; Bacilli.